GCAUCGGUCCCACCUGCUUUCCUGUGGGUGGCAUGGGUUGUGUCUGUGGGUGGGGGUUGGUCACCGGCAGUCUGUGGUUUCUGGUUGAGGGACUCAAUCAGGGCGCGAACUCGCGGCGUCGGAUACAGCCGCUGUGCCUUCUCCAGGAAGCGGAGCGCCCGGUCGGGCUGGUUGCUCUGGAUGGCCUUGAGGGCGAUGCUGAUACAGCGCUCAGCUUCAUCCUUGUUGGAUUCCAUGGCGGAACCAGAACGCGGAACCAGGGAGGGGGAGGCCGGGCGAGCGAAGGGCUGCGCCACC
This 297-nucleotide long non-coding RNA is filed under the name Homo sapiens (human). RNAcentral's name for it is "LNC_000459". Lineage: Eukaryota; Metazoa; Chordata; Mammalia; Primates; Hominidae. The record is from RNAcentral.